UGUGAUAUCCUCAGCUUGGAAAGGUUCUGGAUCGUCCUGCACGUACUCUCCUGACUCCACGUAUUCGGUCUCCGCUCCCGGUGCUACCCAACACAAGAAUAACAGCCAAUGAACAGCAGAACCACAACAUGCAACAAUCACAAGAAGCAUGAGAUGAAAGUUGAGCAUGCACCACUAUUUCUAACCCUAGCGCAAGCAAGAUAAACUACAACAAGUUCCUGGACAGAACUUUGCACUAAACUAUUUGGACAUGCAUGGGAAUGAUAUGAACAGAUGCAUCUCGUAAAAACGGUGCAAAACCAUAUAAGGAACUUUGCAAACGGAGCUACGGAACAACGGGAAUCAACGAAACAGGAUAUGAAGCCCUACGUGAAAGAUUCAUCACCACACACACAAUUGGCACAAAUCUGGUGUUCCCAGGUUGCCAAGACAUAUAUUAACCCAACAUGAAUGAAAUGGAGCAAGGUAGAACACCCCAACAACAAUUGAACACAAACUUUGAACAAAAAGUCAAAACUACGCAAUCUGCCAGUUUCUGCAUCUUAGCUGUUUGUGAGCAACAUGCAACAUAGCUACAGGUCUUCAAACAUGACAAAUAAUAUAUGUGGCUGUUUCCAACCAAGGACUAUACAAUCUCCAGCAAGAAUCACAGCAAAAGGAAUUAAACUCUAGAAGAUACAAGGCCACAAACUUUCCCAAAACCAUCAGUUCUCAGGGACUUAGUGAAAAUUCCUGCACCUGAGUUUCUGUUUCUGUUCUGAAGCUUUUUGACAGCAAUCAAAACACAAGCUACUGGACUCCAAAUGACUUGAAAAUUGACAGGAAGCUUCAAAACCAUACCAGGUUCAAAACACUAGCACUGAACUAAGUCCAGUUCUUAACAGAAUGACCAGCACAACCUUAUCUACAGGGGAAGAAAAUGUUCUCAGCAUUCCAGACUUAGUGAAAUUUUCAGAGUUCAAAAAUCUGGAAUUUUCCAGCCACAUGCCCACUUUGUCUAGGCAUAGUUUGCACACACAAGUUCCCAAGAGGUGUUUGACACCACUAUGGUAUUGAGCACAAACCCCUACAACUAGCACACCAAGACCCAUGCCUUUGGGCUCCAUCUAUAUCAUGGAAACAAAGCCCAAACUUUCAACAAUAACGAAAAUGCAAAUCCACAAGGUAUGCUUUUAAGAUGACAAUUACCUAGGAGAGUUUCAUGUGCACAAUGACAAAGUGACAUGGGGGUUUGAACCCCAUGUUUGUGUCAUGCACAUCAACAACUCCAACACCACAAUUCCUCUCAAGCACUAGCAUCAAGCUCACACAUAAGAAAUCUUUAUCUAACAAGAGAGUAGGCACACCCCCCCACAUAUGGGUAUGUGAUGGUGCACACUCUCACAAGCAUCACUAGAAUCUUCCUAGUAUUCAUGUCACCAUAAUUAUGCAAACUACCACAACAAACCACACCCUCACAUGCUAACAUAAAUAGCUAUCUAGUGCUACUCCUCAUCUCAAGACAUGUGAUGAGGGGGAGGCAUCCACACCCCACUAUAUCAAGGCAAGCUAAUAAACUACAAGAUCCCUUAGCCCACACUAAAGUUCACAAGCUUGGGGCUAUACAAGAGUAGCUAGUGACUCUUAUCACCUCAAAGCACAACUCACACCAAGGCCAAGGCAUCUAACAUCAUCCACUUAACAAGGUUAGCUCCACUUUUCCAAGGUGCACCCACCAAAACCAUCACAAGUAUAGCAAGAUCACACAUCACCUCUUAGUGUGCAAGACACACACAAUACUAAAUCUACCCUAUCUAUUUUAGCAGGAACUAAAUCAUCCCCACUGUGUAAGAGGGUUAGAAUUCACAAGAAAUCACAAAGACUAACAAACCACUUUGUAUGGAGUUAGGGAAACAGAAAUUAAAAGGCAGGAAAAGAAACAGAAAGCAAAAAAAAAUAGGCCAGGGGCUGCUGGGAUUCGAACUCAGGCCCCCUGGUGUCCAGCACCACUGUCUCACCACUGCGCUGCUGCACCAGAUUUGGAUAAGAGAAAGGAAAAGGCAAGGUAACCUACCUACACGAAUGUUCAAAACAAAGAAUAAAAAGGCGCCGAGGGGGGGACUCGAACCCACGCCCUCCUACAGGCGCUAGAAUAAGCCAGCACAACACUACCAUCGGGCUACGGAUCGGGAACUGGUUAGACAAGAAGGUAAAAAUAGAAAAACACUCCUCUCACGAGAAGUAUCCCGCCGGCGGCCGGAGCCGAGGACGCUGGCGGCGCCACUCCCGGCCACCACCGGUAGGGGAAACCGUCGGCGGGGCCCGCGGGACUCCCGGGGGAUCCAUUUUCGCCCCGAGCACGGGAGAAGGUGCCUCCUUGGCUGCCUUGAACUGCAGCGGUGUUCCUGCUACGCUGCACCGUCCGCCUGGGAGCACGGGACAGAGAGCUCCGGGCGCACCACCCUGCGGGAACUGCUGCGCUGCUAGGCUACACGUCUGCUGCCGGCUGCUACUACGAACACGCACGCACAUAACUCGCCCAGCUACUGCACCGCACGCACUGUUGCCGACCUACUGAUAGGGAAGAAAACCGAAGCAUCACGGCGACUCCGGCCGACCCAAGGAGGAAGAAGCACAGGGGCGACGUGCAGCCUCACCUUGGGGCGAAGAGGGGGCGCCGAACCGACGGAGAGGAAGCCGGACCGGGGAAGGAGACGCUGAAGAAGUUCCUCCGUCGUAGACCGAAGCAGGGAAGGAGACGCCCGGUUCGCCCCGUUGACGAGGACGAGCUCGACGGGGGGGGGGGGGUCGCUCCUCGGGGUCCUAACGCCGGGAAUGGGACGCGGGGAGCCGCCCCGAGCCCCCGGACAUGGCGGCCGUGCUGCCCGACGAUGCACGCGGGGGUAGGCGCCGGCGACUCUCUCUUCUCUGCUACUUCUACAGAAACUUACCAGGGGAAGAAAAGAGAGAAGGGGGAAGGUGGCGGCGCUGGGGAGAAGGAGAGGGAACCCUAG
This 2993-nucleotide long non-coding RNA is filed under the name Hordeum vulgare. RNAcentral describes it as "long non-coding RNA (HVUL_LNC013287)". The record is from RNAcentral. Lineage: Eukaryota; Viridiplantae; Streptophyta; Magnoliopsida; Poales; Poaceae.